RNAcentral lists this ribosomal RNA (274 nucleotides) under uncultured bacterium. RNAcentral's name for it is "partial 16S ribosomal RNA". It matches the Rfam family "Bacterial small subunit ribosomal RNA", at positions 523 to 796 of the family's 1533-position model. The record is from RNAcentral.
AAACGUAGGACGCAAGCGUUAUCCGGAAUUACUGGGCGUAAAGCGCGCGCAGGCGGGUCAGCAAGUCAUGUGUGAAAGCUCCCGGCUAAACUGGGAGAGGACGGAUGAAACUGCUGGUCUAGAGGGUGUUAGAGGAGUGUGGAAUUCCGCGUGUAGUGGUGAAAUGCGUAGAUAUGCGGAGGAACACCGGAGGCAAAGGCGGCACUCUGGGACACAACUGACGCUGAGGCGCGAAAGCAUGGGUAGCGAACGGGAUUAGAAACCCCAGUAGUCC